CAAGUUCCAUGUGCCAUAAUAAUUAUUGGAUCCCCCAUCGAUUCUCAUUUUAAUGAAAUUUAUUUAACACAUCUACUUUGGAAUGUUAUUACAUAUUGAUUGAAUUGGGAAAGCACAAUAUCCAUGUAACCGUUCAUUAUCAAGCUAAGCAAGUAAUAUAACUUUCAUCUAUCUGGCGAGACCAGAUAGGAAAAGAAGCUAUUCAAAGCAACUGAGAAUCCAAGGGCCCAUACCUCUAUACGGCUACACUCUGUCUAGCAUUAUGUUGCAGUGUUCUUGAUAUCACAAGUACAUAUGUAAUUAAAAUAGGGUGGUAUUCGAGAUUUCCAAACCAAGACCUCGUACUUCUCUUGUGGGAGAUCACAUCCACUUAGCAUAAGAUCUACAAAUGUUAUGUCUGGGACCUUGUUUAGUGUAGAACCACUUUGAUAAAUGUCACGUAGCAUAAAAUAUUUGGAUGGUUUGUGUUUGCUUAAGGUCCAUGUACAAUGAAGUUCAUCCUUGGCCUUGAGAUCAUCCGGGUGUUCUUCACCCAGUAAGGAGACAUUCUUUUGCAAGUACUCUCUUAACCAGGUGAGAAUCAAGGACCACCUUUUAGUGCUAAAAUUACCUUUUAGUAAAAUGGCAGAACCCACGUGCGGGUAAAUGAAAGACCCUGGCAUGUUAUAUGCUAUUUCCAUAGCUAGGGAUGUCAACUUCGGAAGUUGUCGUGGGUCUUCACUUCCAAACACAAGCAUCUUAAAGUAAUACCAAUAGGCUUCUGUAGGCAAACAUUUCAGCCGAAGAGCUUCUGUUGUCCCAAACCUCUCAAUCUUCUUUGAUCGACUGGUGAUGAUCAUUUUACUUCCCCGUGGAAUGCUUCUUGUAGAAGAGUACAAUCUCUUCCAUGUCUCGUCAUCCACAUCCUCCAAGAGCUCAAUGAUGAUCAGUAACCUCUCCUCCGAGGCACUAUCAUUCUGAUGCUUUAUCACACAAUUGUCUCUAAAACUUGGCAUCGUCUCAUCUUUAAGCUCAUUUCUACAGUAUGAUAAGAUCAAUGAGAAGUGGUUGCGCACUCUUUCUUCAAUGCAAACAUGCUCCACAAUGGUACUCUUUCCGAUCAGCGAUGGUCCAGUGAUCGGAAGCACACCUAGAUCUCCGCUGUUACUUGGAGGAUCCGUCUGCAGCAAGAAUUCCAUGAUCAUGUCCCUCUCCAUAUGGCGUCCAAACAUGCACCUCUCCACAAAGAAAUGAGCGCUGUAAGGUUGCCGGUGAAGAAUAGGAUAGCCCAUCAAGAAUACAACAAACUCCUUCAUGUCAUUGAUCAUGGCUUCCAAGCUGCAAACCAUCUGAUGCAACUCUCCAGGGCUUGCACCGCUCAACACUGCCCCUGUUGCUGAUGAACUAUUGGAGGAGAAGCGGACACGCUUCACCGUGUUUGACCUGGAUAGAGCGAGCGCAUCGCAGCUCACCUCCUCCUCCUCAUCGUCGUCACCACCAUCAUCAUUGCGCCUGUCUCCUCCUCCGGGGAGCGACCGACAGCCAACAACAUCGAGGACAUAGUAGCCUCUGAAUGCCUUGUCCCUCAGGGCCAUGACCUGCUGCAGCAUGGCCCGGCUAGCGACGUGCCGUCGCUCGGCCUCCUCGAGGAUCGUGUGGCUCCGCAGCAGUAGGCUGCGCAGCCGCUUCAGGUCCUCCUGGUCGGUCGCGGCUUGCCUCUCACACUUGGAGAGCAGGGAUGAUACGGUCCUCCUCACAAACUCACCGAUGACUGCGCUGGAGACAGAAUCCAUCGGGAACAGAAACCUAGUCUCUCUGGAGAUUGUGCAAGAAAUCAAACGGAGAAUCUCAAGAGAGAGCAGUAUGCUUGGUGUGCUGCCGAGUCGCGGCACUCGUCUUUGCGUUUACAAUCGCUGCUGGUAGCUGACGAAUCGAUGAUAAUUAUAAGCAAGGCUGCGCGAGACAAGCCAAAAGCAUUGAUCAAUCUGCGUGGUUGGAACGCUGAUGCCGACGGCAACGAACAAUGUCGACAAAAGUGCAUGUGAUACACUUGCUUUUGGACAGGAUGGUGCAUGUCGGCAUCACUAGCUAUCCUGAUAUUGACUAUAAACUUUGUUUGUAUUUUCUGUUUUAAGCUUUGCUGGACUAAAUCAUAGUAUUUUAGACACGGAAGUAAUCAUCUCUAUGAUGAUGUUCCUGUCUGAUUGAACUUUUCUUGCAAUCUGUAAUACAUGUUCCAAUAGCUUGUUUAUAAUUCUUCUUGCAAUGUAUUAUUUAGUGAACAAAAUAAGCAUACGUAGAUGCAUUAUCUUCCCAAAUCCAUGACCAAAGCAAGCAAUAUCCAAUGCAGUCAAAGUCACAUACAUUUAUUGGUCCAGUUCAGUGAAACUGAACUCAGAAGUAAAGAACAUGUUCGUAGAAUUUUUUUCUCUCCUCGCUUCAACUCCGAAACAUAUGCUUGAUUGCAAUGCUUCUAUAAUUCUACUGUGUGUACAUAGUUGCAGGGUGCAGUUCGAUUUGAGUAAUAUGAAAUGAAUAUGCCUCCACAUUUUUUUCAGAAAUUAUACCAAAAUUGUCGAUGAAUAAUACAUUAUUACCAUGGUUCACUACUAGAUACACAACACUCCUUGAGAGUUCUAUUUGAAGUGGCCAACGGGACCAUAGUGUUUAGCACUUUUUAUUAACCAUUCAGUAAUGGUGUUGUACUAUAUAAUGGAUCUUUCCCAAGCGUGAAGGUGCAUCCAUGACCAACAUUUACCUAGCAACAGUCACUAACAAAAUACUGCCAUUGGAAUAGAUAUUGCAGCAUUAUAGGUCAUUUGAUCGAGACGAGGCAGUGCGCAAGCAUGGGGGUGCACAGGGAUGAGAUGGAAAAUGGCUGCGUAGAGGCAAUACUCGAGUGGCUGGUCGUACCUAAUUUAGUAGGGGGCCUAUUUAGUUGCGCUCCUGGAGUUGCUCAGUGCUUUCUCUCCCCUUAGGACAUCUAUAGAAGGAUAGAAGGUAAUAGACAUAUAAAACUGGUGGAGGAUUGGACAUAUAAAAAUGAUUCUUGGAGGCCCAUCAACCAAAAUAUCACAAAGAUUAGGUCAAGAACAAAAGUACGAGUUUCAUGUGCUAUACAAUUGUUGGAUCCCCCAUUGAUUCUCAUUUGAAUGAAAUUUCUUGAACACGUCUACUUUUGAAUGUUAUUAUAUAUUGAUUGAAUUAGGAAAGCACAAAAAUCCAUGUCAUAGUUCAUUAUCAAGCUAAGCAAGGGAUUUCAUCUAUUUGGGGAGACCAGAUAAGAUAAUAAGUUAUAUUCAAAGCAACCAGUCCGCAUGCUAAGAAUCCAAGGGCCAAUAUAUACCUCUACACGGCCACACCCUGCCUUGCAUUAUUAUGCAGUGUUCUUGAUAUCACAUGUACAUAUGUAAUUAAAAUAGGGUGGUAUUCGAGAUUUCCAAACCAAGCCUCGAACUUCUCUUGUGGGUGAUCACAUCCACUUAGCAUAAGAUCUACAAAUGUUAUGUCUGGGAUUUUGUCUAGUGUAGAACCACUUUGAUAAAUGUCACGUAGCAUAAAAUAUUUGGAUGGUUUGUGUUUGCUUAUGGUCCAUGUACAAUGAAGUUGAUCCUUGGCCAUGAGAUCAUCCGGGUGUUCUUCACCCAGUAAAGGAGACAUUCUUUUGCAAGCACUCUCUUAACCAGGUGAGAAUCAAGGACCACCUUUUAGUGCUAAAAUUACCUUUUAGUAAAAUGGCAGAACCCACGUGCGGGUAAAUGAAAGACCCUGGCAUGUUAUAUGCUAUUUCCAUAGCUAGGGAUGUCAACUUCGGAAGUUGUACUGUCGUGGGUCUUCACUUCCAAACACAAGCAUCUUAAAGUAAUACCCAUAUGCUUCUGUAGGCAAACAUUUCAGCCUAAGAGCUUCUGUUGUCCCAAACCUCUCAAUCUUCUUUGAUCGACUGGUGAUGAUCAUUUUACUUCCCCGUGGAAUGCUUCUUGUAGAAGAGUACAAUCUCUUCCAUGUCUCGUCAUCCACAUCCUCCAAGAGCUCAAUGAUGAUCAGUAACCUCUCCUCCGAGGCACUAUCAUUCUGAUGCGCUUUAUCACACAAUUGUCUCUAAAACUUGGCAUCGUCUCAUCUUUAAGCUCAUUUCUACAGUAUGAUAAGAUCAAUGAGAAGUGGUUGCGCAUUCUUUCUUCAAUGCAAACAUGCUCCACAAUGGU
This 4187-nucleotide long non-coding RNA is filed under the name Setaria viridis. Its description in RNAcentral is "long non-coding RNA (SVIR_LNC002699)". The record is from RNAcentral. Lineage: Eukaryota; Viridiplantae; Streptophyta; Magnoliopsida; Poales; Poaceae.